GAUGAACGCUGGCGGCGUGCCUAAUACAUGCAAGUCGAGCGAACAGACGAGGAGCUUGCUCCUCUGACGUUAGCGGCGGACGGGUGAGUAACACGUGGAUAACCUACCUAUAAGACUGGGAUAACUUCGGGAAACCGGAGCUAAUACCGGAUAAUAUAUUGAACCGCAUGGUUCAAUAGUGAAAGACGGUUUUGCUGUCACUUAUAGAUGGAUCCGCGCCGCAUUAGCUAGUUGGUAAGGUAACGGCUUACCAAGGCAACGAUGCGUAGCCGACCUGAGAGGGUGAUCGACCACCCUGGAACUGAGACACGGUCCAGACUCCUACGGGAGGCAGCAGUAGGGAAUCUUCCGCAAUGGGCGAAAGCCUGACGGAGCAACGCCGCGUGAGUGAUGAAGGUCUUCGGAUCGUAAAACUCUGUUAUUAGGGAAGAACAAAUGUGUAAGUAACUAUGCACGUCUUGACGGUACCUAAUCAGAAAGCCACGGCUAACUACGUG
RNAcentral lists this ribosomal RNA (497 nucleotides) under uncultured bacterium. Its description in RNAcentral is "partial 16S ribosomal RNA". It matches the Rfam family "Bacterial small subunit ribosomal RNA", at positions 28 to 507 of the family's 1533-position model. The record is from RNAcentral.